GCCGCCGUCAGCUGACUGCGGCCGGCAGCCCGCACCGCCCGCACGGCCCGGCCCCGAGCCACGGUGACUGCGGAAGCCCCGCUGCGGCCGCUCCCCCCUCGCCCUCCCGCCCCCUUCUCCCCGGCCAUGGCAGGGGUCGUGGUGAGCGGAGCACAAGUGUCCUACAUUAGUCAAGACUGUGAAGAAAUUCCAGAAUUUCUGGGAAGAAAAUACGGACAUAUGGCAAAAAGACUAGAUCUUAGCUUCAACUUGUUAAGUAGCCGUGCCUGUGUUCUGUUACUUUGUCAGCUUUAA
This 294-nucleotide long non-coding RNA is filed under the name Anas platyrhynchos (mallard). RNAcentral's name for it is "lncRNA (ENSAPLG00020014299.1)". The record is from RNAcentral. Lineage: Eukaryota; Metazoa; Chordata; Aves; Anseriformes; Anatidae.